This is a long non-coding RNA of Perca fluviatilis (European perch), 1550 nucleotides long. RefSeq lists it as uncharacterized. The record is from RefSeq and is a predicted model, not a curated record. Lineage: Eukaryota; Metazoa; Chordata; Actinopteri; Perciformes; Percidae. The transcript has 2 exons.
AUUAGUGUUUAAAAAAAAAAAAACUCAUGAAGUGUAAUUUUCAUGCCAUGGGACCUUUAAAAUAAGCUGUGAGUUUGGUUUUCUAAAGUAAAACUGGAUGUUUCUUGCUCUAUCCCUCACCAUACAGAUGAUGAUCUUAUAGAACAUGAUGCAUUGCUGUAGAUUAAGCUACCCAAUGUUUGUAGUGUUUGUAGUUGUACUAGUGGAGUAUUUUCACACUGUGGUAUAAGUAUUUUACUUAAGGGAAUGAUCUAAAUAAUUCUUCCACCACUGCACGUAUGUACUAUGUAUGAAUUUAAUAUUAGUGAUCUAAAAGAUCUUAAAUAAAUAAAUUAAAUACAUUACUGUUGUGAAUAUCUUAUCUUGUAAAAUGAAACUGAAAAUCCUCUCCUCUCUCCCCUCAAUGUUUUUCUCUACCUCCUCUCUACAUUGCUGCUGGACCAUCAGUGUUGGUUGCUCCGUGACAAGUCAACAGUGUGCAGCUGCCCUCCAGCUCCUCUCCAUCUCCCUCUACUUCUAUCACAUCUCUCUUUACUGGCCCUUCUAUCCACUCUAUCUAUUAUUGGUUCUUUUCACCUCUCUCCUAUAACAUCUACCACUCAUCCCUUAAUAUAAGGUUUUCUAUCUCUCCUGUCAAAUCUAAUAAAUCUAUCUAAAUUUGAGGUUUUCUAUCAUUCUAUCCCUCUAAUUCUAUCCCGCUCUAUCUACAUUUGGUUCUGCACUUGUUGCAAGUUACCCUCUGGUUCUGGUUCAAAGAUUAUCAUACCCAUUUGUUCUGGUUCAAAGAUUAUCAUAUUGUUCUGGUUGGAAAGCUACAGAUUACUGGUAUCUGUUUUGGAUUCAUGGGUUGAUUGGAACCUGAUCAUUCUGUUUUAUGGAUCUGUGAGUUUCUCUGCUCACACUUUUUCUACCUCUCCUGUCUCUCUCUCACACACAUUUGAUUUGGCCUUUUCAAUUGGCAAAAACCUUAUUGUAUUUUUGAAUUGUCCAUAUUGUAUCAAUAUUCUAUUUGGUAACAGUCAUAAUUAAAUAAAUUAUUAAGUAUUUUUUAGUUUGUUCAUUAAAUUAAUUGAAAAGACUGGAAACACAUAAAUAACACACAUUUUGUUUAACUUUUAUCACAAACAUUUGACUGUAAAAACUAAUUCAAAAUUAGAUCUGGUAAAUUUCCAAAUAUAUAAGUUGCUGUUAUAAAGUGUAUCAUUGAAGAAAACAGUCUCUUGUUAAUGUACAUAACAAUGAAUUGAAGUCCAAAUCUAUAUUUAUACAAGAAAAGAGCUGUAGUUGUUCCAGGACCGUGUUGCUGUGGAGCUCUGUACCAAAAGGUUUGUUUUGACUGCAAAUAUAUUCACACCAGAGUACACAUAAUCAGUUUUUGUUUGUACAAGUGUAAAAGUAAUUACACUACAUACAUUGAGUUAUUUGUCUCUGAUUCACAUAUUUGUACCUCAUCUAUAGAUCCACUCACAUUGUUUACAUCAACAAGUUUUGUAUGUGCUUUAUUGUUGGUUAAAUCUUUAUGAAAUAAAUAAACAGACUGUAAGGAGAAA